This 301-nucleotide ribosomal RNA is filed under the name uncultured bacterium. Its description in RNAcentral is "partial 16S ribosomal RNA". It matches the Rfam family "Bacterial small subunit ribosomal RNA", at positions 509 to 807 of the family's 1533-position model. The record is from RNAcentral.
CAGCCGCCGCGGGAAUACGUAGGGUGCGAGCGUUAAUCGGAAUUACUGGGCGUAAAGCGUGCGCAGGCGGUUUUGUAAGACAGGCGUGAAAUCCCCGGGCUCAACCUGGGAAUGGCGCUUGUGACUGCAAAGCUAGAGUGCGGCAGAGGGGGAUGGAAUUCCGCGUGUAGCAGUGAAAUGCGUAGAUAUGCGGAGGAACACCGAUGGCGAAGGCAAUCCCCUGGGCCUGCACUGACGCUCAUGCACGAAAGCGUGGGGAGCAAACAGGAUUAGAGACCCCAGUAGUCCCUGUCUCUUAUAC